GAUGAACGCUGGCGGCGUGCCUAACACAUGCAAGUCGAACGGAAAGGCCCUGCUCUUGUGGGGUGCUCGAGUGGCGAACGGGUGAGUAACACGUGAGUAACCUGCCCUUGACUUUGGGAUAACUUCAGGAAAAUGGGGCUAAUACCGGAUAGGAGCUCCUGCUGCACGGUGGGGGUUGGAAAGAUUCGGCGGUUGGGGAUGGACUCGCGGCUUAUCAGCUUGUUGGUGGGGUAGUGGCUUACCAAGGCUUUGACGGGUAGCCGGCCUGGGAGGGUGACCGGCCACAUUGGGACUGCGAUACGGCCCAGACUCCUACGGGAGGCAGCAGUGGGAAAUAUUGCACAGUGGGCGGAAGCCUGAUACGGCAGCGCCGCGUGCGGGAUGACGGCCUUCGGGUUGUAAACCGCUUUCGCCUGUGACGAAGCGUGAGUGACGGUAAUGGGUAAAGAAGCACCGGCUAACUACGUG
Molecule: ribosomal RNA, 468 nt
Filed under: uncultured bacterium
Lineage: Bacteria
Description: partial 16S ribosomal RNA
Rfam family: Bacterial small subunit ribosomal RNA
Source: RNAcentral